Molecule: ribosomal RNA, 449 nt
Filed under: uncultured bacterium
Lineage: Bacteria
Description: partial 16S ribosomal RNA
Rfam family: Bacterial small subunit ribosomal RNA
Source: RNAcentral
AUUGAACGCUGGCGGCAGGCUUAACACAUGCAAGUCGAACGAGAUCUUCGGAUCUAGUGGCAGACGGGUGAGGAACACGUGGGAACAUCCCUUUCAGUUCGGAAUAACGUUGGGAAACUAACGCUAAUACCGGAUACGUCCUUCGGGAGAAAGAUUUAUCGCUGAAAGAUUGGCCCGCGUCUGAUUAGCUAGUUGGUGAGGUAAUGGCUCACCAAGGCUACGAUCAGUAGCUGAUCUGAGAGGAUGAUCAGCCACAUUGGGACUGAGACACGGCCCAAACUCCUACGGGAGGCAGCAGUGGGGAAUAUUGGACAAUGGGCGCAAGCCUGAUCCAGCCAUGCCGCGUGAGUGAUGACGGCCUUCGGGUUGUAAAGCUCUUUUGUCCGGGAAGAUAAUGACUGUACCCACAGAAGAAGCCCCGGCUAACUCCGUGCCAGCCGCCGCAGUAA